AGGUGAUAUGAACCGUUAUAACCGGCGAUUUCCGAAUGGGGAAACCCAGUGUGAUUCGUCACACUAUCAUUAACUGAAUCCAUAGGUUAAUGAGGCGAACCGGGGGAACUGAAACAUCUAAGUACCCCGAGGAAAAGAAAUCAACCGAGAUUCCCCCAGUAGCGGCGAGCGAACGGGGAGCAGCCCAGAGCCUGAAUCAGUGUGUGUGUUAGUGGAAGCGUCUGGAAAGGCGCGCGAUACAGGGUGACAGCCCCGUACACAAAAAUGCACAUGCUGUGAGCUCGAUGAGUAGGGCGGGACACGUGGUAUCCUGUCUGAAUAUGGGGGGACCAUCCUCCAAGGCUAAAUACUCCUGACUGACCGAUAGUGAACCAGUACCGUGAGGGAAAGGCGAAAAGAACCCCGGCGAGGGGAGUGAAAAAGAACCUGAAACCGUGUACGUACAAGCAGUGGGAGCACGCUUCGGCGUGUGACUGCGUACCUUUUGUAUAAUGGGUCAGCGACUUAUAUUCUGUAGCAAGGUUAACCGAAUAGGGGAGCCGAAGGGAAACCGAGUCUUAACUGGGCGUUAAGUUGCAGGGUAUAGACCCGAAACCCGGUGAUCUAGCCAUGGGCAGGUUGAAGGUUGGGUAACACUAACUGGAGGACCGAACCGACUAAUGUUGAAAAAUUAGCGGAUGACUUGUGGCUGGGGGUGAAAGGCCAAUCAAACCGGGAGAUAGCUGGUUCUCCCCGAAAGCUAUUUAGGUAGCGCCUCGUGAAUUCAUCUCCGGGGGUAGAGCACUGUUUCGGCAAGGGGGUCAUCCCGACUUACCAACCCGAUGCAAACUGCGAAUACCGGAGAAUGUUAUCACGGGAGACACACGGCGGGUGCUAACGUCCGUCGUGAAGAGGGAAACAACCCAGACCGCCAGCUAAGGUCCCAAAGUCAUGGUUAAGUGGGAAACGAUGUGGGAAGGCCCAGACAGCCAGGAUGUUGGCUUAGAAGCAGCCAUCAUUUAAAGAAAGCGUAAUAGCUCACUGGUCGAGUCGGCCUGCGCGGAAGAUGUAACGGGGCUAAACCAUGCACCGAAGCUGCGGCAGCGACGCUGAUGCGUUGUUGGGUAGGGGAGCGUUCUGUAAGCCUGUGAAGGUGUGCUGUGAGGCAUGCUGGAGGUAUCAGAAGUGCGAAUGCUGACAUAAGUAACGAUAAAGCGGGUGAAAAGCCCGCUCGCCGGAAGACCAAGGGUUCCUGUCCAACGUUAAUCGGGGCAGGGUGAGUCGACCCCUAAGGCGAGGCCGAAAGGCGUAGUCGAUGGGAAACAGGUUAAUAUUCCUGUACUUGGUGUUACUGCGAAGGGGGGACGGAGAAGGCUAUGUUGGCCGGGCGACGGUUGUCCCGGUUUAAGCGUGUAGGCUGGUUUUCCAGGCAAAUCCGGAAAAUCAAGGCUGAGGCGUGAUGACGAGGCACUACGGUGCUGAAGCAACAAAUGCCCUGCUUCCAGGAAAAGCCUCUAAGCAUCAGGUAACAUCAAAUCGUACCCCAAACCGACACAGGUGGUCAGGUAGAGAAUACCAAGGCGCUUGAGAGAACUCGGGUGAAGGAACUAGGCAAAAUGGUGCCGUAACUUCGGGAGAAGGCACGCUGAUAUGUAGGUGAAGUCCCUCGCGGAUGGAGCUGAAAUCAGUCGAAGAUACCAGNCGACUUGCUCGUGGAGCUGAAAUCAGUCGAAGAUACCAGCUGGCUGCAACUGUUUAUUAAAAACACAGCACUGUGNUCCCUCGCGGAUGGAGCUGAAAUCAGUCGAAGAUACCAGCUGGCUGCAACUGUUUAUUAAAAACACAGCACUGUGCAAACACGAAAGUGGACGUAUACGGUGUGACGCCUGCCCGGUGCCGGAAGGUUAAUUGAUGGGGUCAGCGCAAGCGAAGCUCUUGAUCGAAGCCCCGGUAAACGGCGGCCGUAACUAUAACGGUCCUAAGGUAGCGAAAUUCCUUGUCGGGUAAGUUCCGACCUGCACGAAUGGCGUAAUGAUGGCCAGGCUGUCUCCACCCGAGACUCAGUGAAAUUGAACUCGCUGUGAAGAUGCAGUGUACCCGCGGCAAGACGGAAAGACCCCGUGAACCUUUACUAUAGCUUGACACUGAACAUUGAGCCUUGAUGUGUAGGAUAGGUGGGAGGCUUUGAAGUGUGGACGCCAGUCUGCAUGGAGCCGACCUUGAAAUACCACCCUUUAAUGUUUGAUGUUCUAACGUUGACCCGUAAUCCGGGUUGCGGACAGUGUCUGGUGGGUAGUUUGACUGGGGCGGUCUCCUCCUAAAGAGUAACGGAGGAGCACGAAGGUUGGCUAAUCCUGGUCGGACAUCAGGAGGUUAGUGCAAUGGCAUAAGCCAGCUUGACUGCGAGCGUGACGGCGCGAGCAGGUGCGAAAGCAGGUCAUAGUGAUCCGGUGGUUCUGAAUGGAAGGGCCAUCGCUCAACGGAUAAAAGGUACUCCGGGGAUAACAGGCUGAUACCGCCCAAGAGUUCAUAUCGACGGCGGUGUUUGGCACCUCGAUGUCGGCUCAUCACAUCCUGGGGCUGAAGUAGGUCCCAAGGGUAUGGCUGUUCGCCAUUUAAAGUGGUACGCGAGCUGGGUUUAGAACGUCGUGAGACAGUUCGGUCCCUAUCUGCCGUGGGCGCUGGAGAACUGAGGGGGGCUGCUCCUAGUACGAGAGGACCGGAGUGGACGCAUCACUGGUGUUCGGGUUGUCAUGCCAAUGGCACUGCCCGGUAGCUAAAUGCGGAAGAGAUAAGUGCUGAAAGCAUCUAAGCACGAAACUUGCCCCGAGAUGAGUUCUCCCUGACUCCUUGAGAGUCCUGAAGGAACGUUGAAGACGACGACGUUGAUAGGCCGGGUGU
RNAcentral lists this ribosomal RNA (2880 nucleotides) under Escherichia coli. Its description in RNAcentral is "bacterial LSU rRNA". It matches the Rfam family "Bacterial large subunit ribosomal RNA". The record is from RNAcentral. Lineage: Bacteria; Pseudomonadati; Pseudomonadota; Gammaproteobacteria; Enterobacterales; Enterobacteriaceae.